AGCAAAACAAAUGACCUGAAUAGUGCCUGCACAUUUUGCCUCACAUCUCAGGUUUGACUAGAAAAAAAUCAAGGGAAUCCAUGUGCAGGUGGAGAUAUGUGAUUAACCCUUUCCCCACCUAUUUUUCCUCUUGUCACCUGCAGAUGCUUUUCACGGAGACAAGAUCCUCAGGUUUGUGCAUGCUGCAUGAGGUUGCAAAAGGUGACUGGGAGGUUAUUGCAGAGAGGAAAGGAAGGAAGAGUAAAGCAGCAAUUAUCAAGCCAGAUAUUGUCUAACUAUUCUGACAGGUAGUAGCUCCCUGAAAUAUCAAACAGAGGUCUUCAUAUCAGCCGCUACCUGAUCGUUUUAACAGGAGACGCUAGAGAUUGAACCCGGAAUCUUCGGCAUGCAAAGCUUGUGGUCUACCAUUAGGCUACAGUUCCUUCUCUCUUCGAGUUAAAGGUUUGGCUAGAGUUAACCGGGAAUUCUUCUCAUUACUGUUCACUGUCUUCCGAAGAAGCUGAGAGCAUGCUGAAUUUCUCAAAUGAAAGCCUUUGAACUUUACAUAGCACUGAAAGAUCAUUUUAAAACUAUUUCUCAUUUCAGAAGAAUAAAUCUCACUUAUUCCUGCCUGAGAUGACUGCCACUUGCAAACCUUGUACCACUAACAUUUAUCCUCCUAACAGUAACAUUAUAAAAUAAGAUGUAUAUUAGCAGUUGGCUCAGUUCUGGAGCACAGAAGCAGCUAUUCCACUGAACCGUAACUCACAUUAUGAUGAGCCCUUCUAACAUUUUGAAGGGCCUGUUUCAUGAUUCCAGGUGUAUUUUUAAAAUGCCCAAAUUUUAAAAUUACAUUUCCAGAAUACUCCAUCCAGUUUAAGGAAUACAGCUUACAGGUCACAAGACUGGGUGGACUUAUUUUGCUCUACCAAAAUUCCCAUUCUGCUGCAGCACAGCACUCCAGGAAAGCUUGAAGCUUCAGUAAAGCUCCCUGCGUGCCAAUUUCACACAAAAAACAAAGGGGUGGUGUUCCUGGCCUAUUAAACUGCAUAUGGGGCCACUUGAUUCAAUGCACUCAGGCUCUCUGUUAGGAAUGGAGUAGAAUUUUGUCUGGUUCACAUUUUUAGCAAACUGACCUAGAGUGAUAUCCAGUUAAGUCAUACUUACACUUCUUGAAUUGCGUGGCACAAUUUUUUAAUUUAAUUUUUAUUUUUAGGGGAGACAUUUGUAUCAUUUUGUACCAAAACUGCAGAAGCUGACAUAAACCACACCUGAUUUGAACACAUCUGAAACUGACACUAGAAAUACACUGAUUCACCCAUCCCUAAGUGUAUGUAUGUCCAUGUGUAUUUAUAGGUGUGUAUACUUACACAUACACACAUGAACUCUCUUAGCACAUAGAAACUAGGGAUCAAGGAGAAGGGCCUACAUUUCCGCCUAAUAUAUUGCACAUAAACACAUGCAUAUGCCUAAAGAUUGGCCUCCUGUUUUCCUUCAAAGGUGUCACCAACAAUUCAGAUCACAUCCUGUCCCACAACAUAAAUAACUUUAAAACUGCCAAUGGUGAGAUUAAAGCAAAACAACAUUGAAAUAUUUACUCAGUGAAGUAGACACUCUUUGAAGAUCUAUGUUUUACACACAACCAUUAAAAGUUGUACCCAUAUUUGUGUCUCGUAUUUACCUCCCUCGCUCUACAGUUCAUACCGAAGCUACUAAUGCAUAUUGUUGCACUCAUGCUUAUAUGAAAGUCUACUUAUGAGGACAGAGUUGUAGGAAAGGCACCAGAUUCCAUAAUAAAAAUAGGCACUAUCAACUAAGUACAACUUCUGCAAAACAUCUACACAUUUAAAUGGUGUUCACAAUGAGGUUACAAAUGAAAAGUAGUUUGGUUUCAAACUACUUAAGAAUUUAUUCAGUUUAAUUCAGAUAAUAAACUGACCAGCUCCUGGACAGAAACUGAAACUAUCCCACCUUUUCACUUCUCUACUUUGUUAGGCAAUAUGUUCUAUAUAAAGCAUAAGCAUCAAUAUUAUCUGCUCAAACAGAAAUUGGAAAAUAGGCAAUAAGCACCAGACGAGUUAAAUGCUUAAUAAAGGACAGAUAUACAUAUAAUUUGAAAAAACAAACCUUAUGCUCUCCUAUUUAAUAGUAUAUUGUCACCUUCCCCAAUUGUUUAUUGCCACUUAAACAAAAAGAAAGUGCAAUACUUUCACUGAAGAGAUAAUUUAAAUUAUCUCAACAAUUACACAUAUUCACAAGAUACGGUACAGGCAGUGACCGGGCUAUAUUUUAAGGUACCUCAGAUUAGAAAGUUUUUUGUGUAGCCGGCUGAAUUCUCUUUAUAAAGCCUUUUAAACUACACUUAAAGAGCACAUAUUACAAUUCCACUUGAAAAUUCCCUCAGAGAACUCUUACCUGUGAGCAGCAGCUGAUUUAAACAACAAUGUGAGAGCCUCUUCCCAUUUCCCUUUUUAGGACAAAUUUAUUCCCCUUUCAGUUCAGUACCUCUAUGUUCUCUGCUGACCUAAUUUUGUCUGUGAUAAAUGCCAGAGUUCGACUGGAGUCACUUGAGCUGCUGCAAGAGAAGAAUGGAAGUCAAAAAUGAAUGCACUCAACAUUCCUCCUUGACAGAUUGCUUGUCAAGAGGCUAAAAGCCUUGGAAAGCUAUAGGUGAGGUAAAGCAUUAUAAUAGCCAUCCUUUAGAUUAAAUUGAAUUCCAGUUUUCAACUAAUUACUCCAGACUCCAAUAAUGAAGUUAAAGCUCAUUGAAACUGAAAGGUUCAGCAUUUUACUCAGGUCCCAUGCAUACGGUAUCAGACAGUAGCCUUUUAAGUCACUAGGAAAAGAUCCAUGGACGCAACAAAACCAAUCAAGCAUCAGACUCGGUCUUGGGUCAGACCCUACUUAAGUGGCCCUGGUCAACAAUCUGUGUCUGGAAGAUGUAGAAUAGGAGCAUGACCUUGAUAAUUCUUCUGAAUCUCUCAGUAGCCUUUGAUACAACUGAUUGUCUGAUUUUUACAGGAUGGUUGGUAGUGGAGGACAUCACUUUGUGACUGGAUUCAUGUGGUAUGGAUACUACUCAGCCACACAGGAAUCAACUUGUAGAAUAUAACAAGAAUUCAGUCUUUUCGCCGGAAAAAGACUGCAUGACUAUGUAUUUAUUAUUUUCAUUUAUUUAUUCCAUCUUUCACCUAUCGUAGAAAUCAAGAAGGCAUCAGGUGAUUUCCCAUCCAGCCAUUGACAAGACCCAGCACUUCUUAGCUUCAGCAAAGAUACUGUGCCAUGUAACCUCAGAUGAUGUCCUAGUACACAAAGAUGAUGUCAUUUGUAUGCUGGUGGCAUUCAGCUUUGUUUUGCUUUGUAAUGUGACUGUGGUAUAGUGCCAAUCCCUGAGUGUCAGUAGUCAGAGGAGCUCAGUCUACACUCGAGUAGGAUCCUGGUAGAGACACAUGCCCGACUGGCAUGUUCUCUCCCUCCUGGUCAAUCCUUUGGGAGCUUCAAAAGCUUUCUUCAGCCUGAACAUCACCGCGACCGAUGCCAACAGACAUUGGCACACUUGAUCCGCAGAGUUUGUGCAUCAUGCGUAACAGACCUCAGCAACUCAGCAUUUUGACUAAUCUACUUUAUUUACAUAUAAACACACAUGGAGCACUGCAACAUGGCUCCCUCUCUCUCUAGCAUCAGACAGCAUAGAGAAAAGGGACAAAGGACAACAGUCCCAAUUCACGGAACACAGUAACACAAACAUCCUGUCUUCGUCACUUCCCACUCUGUGGAGUCAAAACAUAUACCAUCAUGUGAAAGACAAUAAUCCCAUGACUGCAAUCACAGAACAGGAAUUCUAACAAGUAUCUACACACAGUUAUGGGUGCAGUAUGAAGAAUACAUCGAAGCUGAAUCCUGACAUGGCAAACUGUUGGCAAAAAUAUAUUACUUGGUGUGAAGGGAUAUCUGUUCGUUACACGGUCACAAUCCCUUUCAUCAAAGGAUGAAAAGAAAUUUACUUAGCAUAAAAGACCCUUUACAUAGGAAAGAAUGCAAAUGCAGAAUAAUGAAAUAAGUCCAAUCAAGAGUAGUCCCAUCCACCAACUGUGUGCAGCCCUCAGAAAUGGGGCUUUCAUGGUUACAAAGGUCCCCCACUCUUUCCCUAGAGUGCAAGUGCACAGGUUGGUAGAAAAUGGCUUGGUUCUAUAUCCAUGUUUCAGGCGGCAAUGAAUGCAACAUUUCUCAAAAUAAUAAAAAUCACCAAAUUAUAAACUGACAAAGAAAAGACUGCAUAUGCAGCAAAAUAUUUCCAUAUCAAACUUGAUAAAAUCCCACACACUCUUAAAGGCAAAUUUGUGGAGACUUUAAAAUGUCAAUAUUUAACAAGACAUAUGAAACUUCACCUCCACUUUCAUAAGUGCUCAUUUCUAAAGAAAAUCAAUAUUUAAAUGUAUUACAGAGCAAUAAAACAUUGGCAGUGAGACUGCAAACAGUUAUUAAAAUGGGCAUAUCCAUUAAACUGUGGGUAGAGUCAUGUAAUAAAGAUAUUUUUGAAUU
RNAcentral lists this long non-coding RNA (4521 nucleotides) under Podarcis lilfordi (Lilford's wall lizard). The record is from RNAcentral. Lineage: Eukaryota; Metazoa; Chordata; Lepidosauria; Squamata; Lacertidae.